AACUACUGAUCAAUCCCCUCCCCGGCUGAUUUGCGCAUCAGGUAGUCGCCGCUCUACUCUCAACGGUGGCGAGCUGCAGUAGCCAAGUGCCCUGCCCCCGUUGCCAUAACAGCAGUACACAACCCCUCCUUCCCCUCGCCCGCUUGCUAAACAGUCCUUCCCUCUCGGGACUAAGGGCCUCUCCAGAACUGCUUCUGAUUGAGCAGAAACAGGGAGGAGGACUGAGCUUAUCUGACUCCAGAGCUUUCAGGAGGGAAGAAAGAUGUCAGAUGAAGAUGAUCUAGAAGACUCUGAGCCAGACCAGGAUGAUUCUGAGAAAGAAGAGGACGAGAAGGAGACAGAGGAGGGGGAGGACUACAGAAAAGAGGGGGAAGAGUUCCCUGAGGAAGGACCUGACAGACAUCUACUUGCUGCGCUCCUACAUCCAUCUGCGCUAUGUGGAUAUUUCUGAGAACCACCUGACAGACCUGUCUCCACUCAACUACCUCACCCACCUGCUCUGGCUCAAGGCUGAUGGCAAUCGGCUGCGAAGUGCCCAGAUGAAUGAACUUCCCUACCUGCAGAUUGCUAGUUUUGCUUAUAACCAGAUUACUGACAC
RNAcentral lists this small RNA (598 nucleotides) under Pan troglodytes (chimpanzee). RNAcentral's name for it is "processed transcript". Lineage: Eukaryota; Metazoa; Chordata; Mammalia; Primates; Hominidae. The record is from RNAcentral.